UUGGAACUCUACUGGAAGUAUGGAAUGGAACAUCCUAAAAAUAGAAGAGCAACAGAUGGUGCCUCCAAAUCCCUUCUGAAGGCGAUUGUGCAAACCAGCAUCUCAACAAGAAAUGUUCACAGCCC
Agelaius phoeniceus (red-winged blackbird) is the source of this 125-nucleotide long non-coding RNA. RefSeq lists it as uncharacterized. Lineage: Eukaryota; Metazoa; Chordata; Aves; Passeriformes; Icteridae. The record is from RefSeq and is a predicted model, not a curated record.